This 410-nucleotide ribosomal RNA is filed under the name uncultured Smithella sp. Its description in RNAcentral is "bacterial SSU rRNA". It matches the Rfam family "Bacterial small subunit ribosomal RNA", at positions 973 to 1382 of the family's 1533-position model. The record is from RNAcentral. Lineage: Bacteria; Pseudomonadati; Thermodesulfobacteriota; Syntrophia; Syntrophales; Smithellaceae.
ACCAGGUCUUGACAUCCCUGACAACCCGAGAGAGUCCGGGCGUUCCCCUUCGGGGGACAGGGUGACAGGUGGUGCAUGGUUGUCGUCAGCUCGUGUCGUGAGAUGUUGGGUUAAGUCCCGCAACGAGCGCAACCCUCGACCUUAGUUGCCAGCAUUCAGUUGGGCACUCUAAGGUGACUGCCGGCUAAAAGUCGGAGGAAGGUGGGAUGACGUCAAGUCCUCAUGGCCUUUAUGCUUAGGGCUACACACGUGCUACAAUGGGUGGUACAAAGAGAAGCCAACUCGCGAGAGCGCGCCAAUCUCAAAAAGCCAUCCUCAGUUCGGAUUGGAGUCUGCAACUCGACUCCAUGAAGUUGGAAUCGCUAGUAAUCGCGGAUCAGCAUGCCGCGGUGAAUACGUUCCCGGGCCUU